AGCCAUUGAUGAAUUUCCUAUAAACUUUCUGACACCUCGUAUGAAUGCUGCUUUUGCAGUAUCUGAUUACAUAACUUAUCUGAGGCUA
This is a small nucleolar RNA of Megalops cyprinoides (Indo-Pacific tarpon), 88 nucleotides long. RefSeq annotates it as small nucleolar RNA SNORD60. The transcript has a single exon. NCBI's taxonomy places the organism in Eukaryota, Metazoa, Chordata, Actinopteri, Elopiformes, Megalopidae. The record is from RefSeq and is a predicted model, not a curated record.